This 373-nucleotide ribosomal RNA is filed under the name uncultured bacterium. RNAcentral describes it as "bacterial SSU rRNA". It matches the Rfam family "Bacterial small subunit ribosomal RNA", at positions 527 to 898 of the family's 1533-position model. The record is from RNAcentral.
GUAGGUGGCGAGCGUUAUCCGGAUUCAUUGGGCGUAAAGCGCUUGUAGGUGGCCUUGUAAGUUGGACGUGAAAUCUCCCGGCUUAACCGGGCGGGGUCGUUCAAUACUGCGGGGCUGGAGGAUGUCAGAGGGCAGCGGAAUUCCUGGUGUAGCAGUGAAAUGCGUAGAUAUCAGGAGGAACACCCGUGGCGUAGGCGGCUGCCUGGGGCAUACCUGACACUGAGAAGCGAAAGCUAGGGGAGCGAACGGGAUUAGAAACCCCGGUAGUCCUAGCCGUAAACGAUGGACGCUAGGUGUGGGCAGAUCUAACCCUGCCCGUGCCGAAGCCAACGCGUUAAGCGUCCCGCCUGGGAAGUACGAGCGCAAGCUUAAA